RNAcentral lists this ribosomal RNA (793 nucleotides) under uncultured archaeon. RNAcentral describes it as "bacterial SSU rRNA". It matches the Rfam family "Archaeal small subunit ribosomal RNA", at positions 85 to 879 of the family's 1478-position model. The record is from RNAcentral.
ACGGCUCAGUAACACGUAGUCAAUCUACCCUAUGGACGGGAAUAACCUCGGGAAACUGAGAAUAAUGCCCGAUAGAACAUUAUGCCUGGAAUGGUUUAUGUUUCAAAUGAUUUAUCGCCAUAGGAUGGGACUGCGGCCUAUCAGUUUGUUGGUGAGGUAAUGGCCCACCAAGACUAUUACAGGUACGGGCUCUGAGAGGAGUAGCCCGGAGAUGGGUACUGAGACACGGACCCAGGCCCUAUGGGGCGCAGCAGGCGAGAAAACUUUGCAAUGUGCGAAAGCACGACAAGGUUAAUCCGAGUGGUUUCUGCUAAAGAAACCUUUUGUCAGUCCUAGAAACACUAACGAAUAAGGGGUGGGCAAGUUCUGGUGUCAGCCGCCGCGGUAAAACCAGCACCUCAAGUGGUCAGGAUGAUUAUUGGGCCUAAAGCAUCCGUAGCCCGUUUUGUAAGUUUUCGGUUAAAUCCAUACGCUUAACGUAUGGGCUGCCGGGAAUACUGCAUAACUAGGAAGUGGGAGAGGUAGACGGUACUCGGUAGGAAGGGGUAAAAUCCUUUGAUCUAUUGAUGACCACCUGUGGCGAAGGCGGUCUACCAGAACACGUCCGACGGUGAGGGAUGAAAGCUGGGGGAGCAAACCGGAUUAGAUACCCGGGUAGUCCCAGCUGUAAACUAUGCAAACUCAGUGAUGCAUUGGCUUAUGGCCAAUGCAGUGCUGCAGGGAAGCCGUUAAGUUUGCCGCCUGGGAAGUACGUACGCAAGUAUGAAACUUAAAGGAAUUGGCGGGGGAGCAC